This 254-nucleotide ribosomal RNA is filed under the name uncultured bacterium. RNAcentral describes it as "partial 16S ribosomal RNA". It matches the Rfam family "Bacterial small subunit ribosomal RNA", at positions 524 to 776 of the family's 1533-position model. The record is from RNAcentral.
UACGAAGGGGGCUAGCGUUGUUCGGAAUCACUGGGCGUAAAGCGCACGCAGGCGGGUCGUUAAGUCAGGGGUGAAAUCCCGAGGCUCAACCUCGGAACUGCCUUUGAUACUGGCGACCUUUGAGUCCGGGAGAGGUGAGUGGAACUCCGAGUGUAGAGGUGAAAUUCGUAGAUAUUCGGAAGAACACCAGUGGCGAAGGCGGCUCACUGGCCCGGUACUGACGCUCAUGUGCGAAAGCGUGGGGAGCGAACAGG